This 146-nucleotide non-coding RNA is filed under the name Francisella sp. RNAcentral's name for it is "FMN sequence". It matches the Rfam family "FMN riboswitch aptamer (RFN element)". From Rfam's summary of the family: The RFN element is a highly conserved domain that is found frequently in the 5'-untranslated regions of prokaryotic mRNAs that encode for flavin mononucleotide (FMN) biosynthesis and transport proteins. This element is a metabolite-dependent riboswitch that directly binds FMN in the absence of proteins. Lineage: Bacteria; Pseudomonadati; Pseudomonadota; Gammaproteobacteria; Thiotrichales; Francisellaceae. The record is from RNAcentral.
GAUAAUCUUCAGGGCAGGGCGAAACUCCCUACCGGCGGUAACUAUUCUUAUAGAAGCCCGCGAGCGCUUUUUGUUAAUUCAAAAAGGUCAGCAGAUUUGGUGAGAAUCCAAAGCCGACAGUAUAGUCUGGAUGGAAGAAGGUUAUU